CAGAAUAAUAUCUUAAUGUUAGAUUGUCUACUGCUCUGUGGGAUUCAUUCAUUAUCCUAAAUAGAAAUUUAAAGAAAAAAUUCCAAAAAAAAGACACCACCAGUUCACACAAAACUGUUAAUUCUGGGAAAUUACAUACAUCAAAGAACUAUAAUUCUAAUGGAAAACUAAACAACACAAAAACUAUAAUCAUCUUUAAGAACUCUAUACUACAUAUAGAGUUAUUUUAGCUGGCUCUAAUUUCUGAUAAAUUUCUAAGAUGAUGGAACCUUUUUCAAUUCCAUGGCCCAGGCUUAGUGUCUUACCUGUGGGAACAGUGCUAAUGAUUAAUUCACUCAAAUGUUUGUGCACACAAGGGGCAGCAAUUUCACAUUAUAAUUUUGUAAAAAAAAAAGUUCUUGCAUAUCACACUCCAAUUUUCUAAAAAUUACACAGCUUAUGAAAGAUGGUAGAAUGUGAAAUUCUGUCCAAUUGGUUAUAGUUAAUAUUCCAUUAAUCAUAAAGUUCGAUCUUGAAAUUCUUCAUUACUCCACAUAAAAUAUUUUCUAUUUAUUGAGUUGGAAAAAAACCUCAUGUACAGCUAAAUUGUUGUAUAUUUCCUAGGCUAAGGUAUAUUUCACAAUAUUCAUCCUUCCAAAUUUAUUUUGGAAGCAAUGGAUGAAAUACAAGGUUACGGGUUUUCCUAAUGACAAAACAAAAAGAAAAUUUAUAUAAAACAUUUGUUAGUAUUUCAUUAAGUUA
RNAcentral lists this long non-coding RNA (741 nucleotides) under Bos taurus (domestic cattle). RNAcentral's name for it is "long non-coding RNA NONBTAT023954". The record is from RNAcentral. Lineage: Eukaryota; Metazoa; Chordata; Mammalia; Artiodactyla; Bovidae.